CGCAGAUACCUCAAGGUGAAGUUAUCCAUUAAUUUUCCGUUUAGGUAUAGAAACAGAUCAAGCAAUAAAGAUAUAAAUCAAAUAAGACUCUCGCAAAAAUAAAUAAUUUUGUAUUGGUAGUGCUAUGGUGAUUCAAGUUCCGAUUAUAACCUUCAUUCCGGUUGCCGUAUAGGUAACUUUAAAAUGGAGUAGUUGAGACUCUAGAUGGCGUCAAUAUGACUAGAGGAAAUAUUUCGAUAGAACAGUAAUCCGUGUUUGCGGUUGUUGGCGGGAUAUAAAUAAAAAGAAUGCUUUGGUUUGUGAAUUAAUCUCGGUUUUUCUUAAUAUGGUGUUUCUAAAUGUGAUAAAAAUUCAGUUAUUAAUUUAGUGUAAAUAUAUAGUGAGUCAACAAUGAAGUUCUUUUAGUUCUACUGCCGAUUUAAACACGAUAUAAUUUGAAACAGAAUUAAUACUUUCCAAGGUCAGCUUCGACAUCGGUAGAAACUGAUGCUUUGGGGAUAGUGGGUUCUGUGGUUCCUGUUUGCCUGGAGACCUCGGGGGGAGGAUUUGUCCUUGUCCUUGGAAUCUCGCCAGGUUUUUCAGGAUACCUGAGGUACUUCCGACUUGGAUUAAGCUCAUAAAACUGAGUCGUCCUUUGUACCGGCUCCAGGACGAUGAGGGCGGCUGCUGGACCUUGUCAUCAAUGACUUCUUUAGGAAUUCUUGAGGAUUUUUUUUUUAUUCUAUUCUAUUGAAGAAAAUGAACACUUUUGCAAUACAUUGUCAAUUUUAUUAUUAAUUUUUUCUCUUGUAUUUAUUUAGGGUACGUAAUUUUCCCGUGUAUUUGAUUUUUUACAAUAAAUUCGCCGAACUUUCCGAUGGUAUCUUCGUAUGUUGUGGUACCAGUUUGCA
Diorhabda carinulata is the source of this 890-nucleotide long non-coding RNA. RefSeq lists it as uncharacterized. The transcript has 2 exons. The record is from RefSeq and is a predicted model, not a curated record. NCBI's taxonomy places the organism in Eukaryota, Metazoa, Arthropoda, Insecta, Coleoptera, Chrysomelidae.